AACAAACGCUGGCGGCGUGUCUUAAGCAUGCAAGUUGAGCGGCAAGGAGGAGAGAUCCUCCCUAGAGCGGCGGACUGGUGAGUAACGCGUGGGUAAUCUAUCGUAGGCAUGGGGAUAGUCACUAGAAAUAGUGGGUAAUACCGAAUACGUUCCAUGAGGGGAGUACUUAUGGAAGAAAGGGUGCUACGGCACUGGCCUUAGGUGAGCUCGCGUCCCAUUAGCUAGUUGGUGAGGUAAAGGCCCACCAAGGCGAUGAUGGGUAGCCGGCCUGAGAGGGUGUACGGCCACACUGGGACUGAGAUACGGCCCAGACUCCUACGGGAGGCAGCAGCUAAGAUAUUCCGCAAUGGACGAAAGUCUGACGGAGCGACGCCGCGUGGAUGAAGAAGGCCGAAAGGUUGUAAAGUUCUUUUGCUAGGGGAAAGUAAGUGAGGGAGGAAUGCCCUAUGAUGACAAGGACUAGCGAAUAACGCCCCGGCAACUACGUGCCAGCAGCCGACGG
RNAcentral lists this ribosomal RNA (502 nucleotides) under uncultured bacterium. Its description in RNAcentral is "bacterial SSU rRNA". It matches the Rfam family "Bacterial small subunit ribosomal RNA", at positions 29 to 520 of the family's 1533-position model. The record is from RNAcentral.